Molecule: signal recognition particle RNA, 147 nt
Filed under: Nomascus leucogenys (northern white-cheeked gibbon)
Lineage: Eukaryota; Metazoa; Chordata; Mammalia; Primates; Hylobatidae
Description: Metazoan signal recognition particle RNA
Rfam family: Metazoan signal recognition particle RNA
About the family: The signal recognition particle (SRP) is a universally conserved ribonucleoprotein. It is involved in the co-translational targeting of proteins to membranes.
Source: Rfam by way of RNAcentral
GCUGGGUGCGGUGGCGGGCACCUGUAAUCCAGCUACUUGGGAGGCUGAGGCAGGAGAAUCGCUUGAACCCGGGAGGCAGUGGUUGCAGUGAGCCAAGAUUGCGCCAUUGCACUCCAGCCUGGGUGACAAAGUGAGACUCUGUCUCAA